AGCCUGGUGCAGUGGCAGUAUCAUAGCCAAUGAGGUUUAUCUGAGGUGCAAUUAUUGCUAAUUAAAG
Molecule: small nuclear RNA, 67 nt
Organism: Ovis aries (sheep)
Lineage: Eukaryota; Metazoa; Chordata; Mammalia; Artiodactyla; Bovidae
Rfam family: U4 spliceosomal RNA
About the family: U4 small nuclear RNA (U4 snRNA) is a component of the major U2-dependent spliceosome. The structure of U4 snRNA from yeast and human has been reported.
Source: Rfam